UCCNAUUCUUGCAAGAAUGUCCAAAUAAAGUGAAUGCUUCUUCACCAACUUUGUUCACAAUGUAUUUUGUUCAGGGUUAUACUGAACCUACUUCUUACAGAUGGGGGCUGCGUCCGGGAUGAUAAUAAAUCAUCAGAGACACCGAGUCAGCAGCUGAGAAGAGAGGAAGACGCGUCCCGUUGAGUUUAACGGUCCUUGACUCUAUCUGAGGGCUCGGUGUCCUGAGACUGAAAUUUCCCGAGACAAAGUGAACUUGGUGAACAAGCACAGGAAGGGAAAUGAUGGAAAAAUUCCUGAAGAGUUAAUGGUGGCAAGUGAUUUUGCAAGAACUGAUGCCUACCAACAAGCCAAGGAAAAUAGACCUUGGAUUCAGCUUCAACUGACUACCCUGACAAAUCUGUUCAGAAGUGACCUGCCAUUGCCUUCUUCUGAGGAGACACNGUGGAUUGGACCUAGACCUUCAGCACACAAACUGGAUGUUCUACCACCUAGCUAUGGUCACUUCUGAAGGGGAGGGGCAUACAGGAAGUUCAUGAUGUAUUUCUGCCUGAAUAUACUGGGGGCAGAGGAGGCUAAUAUGUGGCCUUCCCUUUGUUGCUGAACUCCAGCUCCUAUGAGCCUCAGUUAGGCUGGCCAAUGGCAGGAAGGCAGUUAGGGUUUGGUGACAUGUGAAGGGCAAUACUUCACCUACACUUGGCAACAGGGCACAUGAACCAGCAUGUUGAGAUGACAAAUUAUUUCCCUCUGUCCUACAAAAACUAGANUAUAGACUUGCUUUGUAAUUUUGGUUGCCACAUGGCAUCCAAGUCGUGGUGCCAAUAACUUUAAUAGUUAUGUAGAAAAAGAAAUUUCUGCAGGUGUUGCCUGAGUUACAAUCUACAUUGGCUGAAAUUUCUUCAUUUACACAAUUGUUAAAAAACAUAGGACUCCCUGA
RNAcentral lists this long non-coding RNA (934 nucleotides) under Salvator merianae (Argentine black and white tegu). Its description in RNAcentral is "lncRNA (ENSSMRG00000003388.1)". Lineage: Eukaryota; Metazoa; Chordata; Lepidosauria; Squamata; Teiidae. The record is from RNAcentral.